UAAAAAGAAGAUCAAGAUUUGUCUGAUCAACACAGGAAGGCGACUUUGAGGAAGGAGAAGCUGGUAGUGUUAAAUCACAAACUCACAAUCCUUUGAGCAUGGAGAUAUCGCAUAGCGUAAGGCUUAUGUGGAAAAUCAGGAGAUUCUCAGCUCUGUCCCACAUGCUAGUAAAAACCUGUUGAACCUUUUCUUGUCUCCCCCCCACCAUAUUAGUCAUUUAAUAUUCAAUAAAUUUUAUUUGAA
Bos indicus x Bos taurus (hybrid cattle) is the source of this 243-nucleotide long non-coding RNA. The record is from Ensembl. NCBI's taxonomy places the organism in Eukaryota, Metazoa, Chordata, Mammalia, Artiodactyla, Bovidae.